ACGCUCGACACCUACGGGAGGCAGCAGUGGGGAAUAUUGCACAAUGGGGGAAACCCUGAUGCAGCGACGCCGCGUGAAGGAUGAAGUAUUUCGGUAUGUAAACUUCUAUCAGCAGGGAAGAAAUGACGGUACCUGACUAAGAAGCCCCGGCUAACUACGUGCCAGCAGCUGCGGUAAUCUGAGGCGGGCUGGCAAGGC
RNAcentral lists this ribosomal RNA (198 nucleotides) under uncultured bacterium. RNAcentral's name for it is "partial 16S ribosomal RNA". It matches the Rfam family "Bacterial small subunit ribosomal RNA", at positions 328 to 539 of the family's 1533-position model. The record is from RNAcentral.